GUUUCCGUAGGUGAACCUGCGGAAGGAUCAUUAAUUGAACAUCGC
RNAcentral lists this ribosomal RNA (45 nucleotides) under Camarosporidiella halimodendri. RNAcentral's name for it is "partial 18S ribosomal RNA". Lineage: Eukaryota; Fungi; Ascomycota; Dothideomycetes; Pleosporales. The record is from RNAcentral.